GCGGGGGUACCAAAGUGGUCAAAUGGACUAGCCUCAAGAGCUAGUGGCUUAGUGCCUUCGAGGGUUCGAGCCCCUUCCCCCGCA
This 84-nucleotide transfer RNA is filed under the name Candidatus Woesearchaeota archaeon CG10_big_fil_rev_8_21_14_0_10_44_13. Its description in RNAcentral is "tRNA-Leu". It matches the Rfam family "tRNA". Rfam says of the family: Transfer RNA (tRNA) molecules are approximately 80 nucleotides in length. Their secondary structure includes four short double-helical elements and three loops (D, anti-codon, and T loops). Lineage: Archaea; Nanobdellati; Candidatus Woesearchaeota. The record is from RNAcentral.